RNAcentral lists this transfer RNA (71 nucleotides) under Dugesia japonica. RNAcentral's name for it is "tRNA-Ser". Lineage: Eukaryota; Metazoa; Platyhelminthes; Tricladida; Dugesiidae. The record is from RNAcentral.
UACGUAGUCAGUAUUUGAGAUAGUUUUCUGCUUUGAAAGUAGGUUUUGAAGAUUCUUUUCUUCCUGUUUUU